UACGUAGGGCGCAAGCGUUGUCCGGAAUUAUUGGGCGUAAAGAGCUCGUAGGCGGUCUGUCGCGUCCGUUGUGAAAACUCGAGGCUCAACCUCGGACUUGCAGUGGGUACGGGCAGACUAGAGUGUGGUAGGGGAGACUGGAAUUCCUGGUGUAGCGGUGGAAUGCGCAGAUAUCAGGAGGAACACCGGUGGCGAAGCGGAUCUCUGGGCCAUAACUGACGCUGGAGGAGCGAAAGCAUGGGGGGCGAACAGG
This 253-nucleotide ribosomal RNA is filed under the name uncultured bacterium. RNAcentral's name for it is "partial 16S ribosomal RNA". It matches the Rfam family "Bacterial small subunit ribosomal RNA", at positions 524 to 776 of the family's 1533-position model. The record is from RNAcentral.